CCCAGACUCCUACGGGAGGCAGCAGUGGGGGAUAUUGCACAAUGGGGGGAACCCUGAUGCAGCGACGCCGCGUGGGUGAAGGAGCGUUUCGGCGCGUAAAGCCCUAUCGGCAGGGAAGAAGGAGGACGGUACCUGACUAAGAAGCCCCGGCUAACUACGUGCCAGCAGCCGCGGUAAUGCGUAGGGGGCAAGCGUUAUCCGGAUUUACUGGGUGUAAAGGGGGCGCAGACGGCAGCGCAAGCCAGGAGUGAAAGCCCGGGGCCCAACCCCGGGACUGCUCUUGGAACUGCGCGGCUGGAGUGCAGGAGGGGCAGGCGGAAUUCCUGGUGUAGCGGUGAAAUGCGUAGAUAUUAGGAGGAACACCAGUGGCGAAGGCGGCCUGCUGGACGAUGGCUGACGCUGAGGCUCGAAAGCGUGGGGAGCAAACAGGAUUAGAUACCCGAGUAUG
Molecule: ribosomal RNA, 448 nt
Filed under: uncultured bacterium
Lineage: Bacteria
Description: partial 16S ribosomal RNA
Rfam family: Bacterial small subunit ribosomal RNA
Source: RNAcentral